GGAUUAGAUACCCUGGUAGUCCACGCCGUAAACGAUGUCUACUAGCCGUUGGUGACUUUAUGUUGCUGGUGGCGCAGUUAACGCGAUAAGUAGACCGCCUGGGGAGUACGGCCGCAAGGUUAAAACUCAAAUGAAUUGACGGGGGCCCGCACAAGCGGUGGAGCAUGUGGUUUAAUUCGAUGCAACGCGAAGAACCUUACCAGGUCUUGACAUCCUCAGAACUUUCCAGAGAUGGAUUGGUGCCUUCGGGAACUGAGUGACAGGUGCUGCAUGGCUGUCGUCAGCUCGUGCCG
This 293-nucleotide ribosomal RNA is filed under the name uncultured bacterium. RNAcentral's name for it is "partial 16S ribosomal RNA". It matches the Rfam family "Bacterial small subunit ribosomal RNA", at positions 775 to 1067 of the family's 1533-position model. The record is from RNAcentral.